This 376-nucleotide ribosomal RNA is filed under the name uncultured Legionella sp. RNAcentral's name for it is "bacterial SSU rRNA". It matches the Rfam family "Bacterial small subunit ribosomal RNA", at positions 524 to 898 of the family's 1533-position model. Lineage: Bacteria; Pseudomonadati; Pseudomonadota; Gammaproteobacteria; Legionellales; Legionellaceae. The record is from RNAcentral.
UACGGAGGGUGCAAGCGUUAAUCGGAAUUACUGGGCGUAAAGGGUGCGUAGGUGGUUGAUUAAGUUAUCUGUGAAAUCCCCGGGCUCAACCUGGGCAGGUCAGAUAAUACUGAUUGACUCGAGUAUAGGAGAGGGUAGUGGAAUUUCCGGUGUAGCGGUGAAAUGCGUAGAGAUCGGAAGGAACACCAGUGGCGAAGGCGGCUACCUGGCCUAAUACUGACACUGAGGCACGAAAGCGUGGGGAGCAAACAGGAUUAGAUACCCUGGUAGUCCACGCUGUAAACGAUGUCAACUAGCUGUUGGUUAUAUGAAUAUAAUUAGUGGCGCAGCAAACGCGAUAAGUUGACCGCCUGGGGAGUACGGUCGCAAGAUUAAA